GUGGCGUGGGGGGUGUGCGGGGCAGGCGGCGCGCGUUCAGGCCUUGCGCAAUUGCAGGUCGGCGGCGGGCAGUGCGACGGUCGCGCCGUCGCGCACCGCG
RNAcentral lists this transfer RNA (100 nucleotides) under Burkholderia metallica. RNAcentral describes it as "tRNA-Leu". Lineage: Bacteria; Pseudomonadati; Pseudomonadota; Betaproteobacteria; Burkholderiales; Burkholderiaceae. The record is from RNAcentral.